CAGGAAGAAGCCAUGUCUCUCUCUCUUGCUGACUUGUGCCUUGCUGUUUGCAGCAGCCAUGAAUGGCUGCCCCACCAUGCCAUGCUGCCUUGGAGCCAACUGAGUAUGGACUGAAACCUGAAGAACUCUUCUCUCCUUUCCCUGAUACUUCUGUUUCCAGUCCUCCUGCCCCCACAUCCGGGCCUUCUCACCUGCAGUUUCCGGUCUCCGCACUAUGCUCCAGUUGCCUUCCCCAGCUCUGGUCCCCUCUCCCUAGAUUCCCAUCCUCUCUUUGUGCUGCUGUGGAGCUCCUGCUCUCUCUGCUCCUUUCUUGCUUGCUUUCCUCGGAGCAUGACAGAAUGAGGACACUGAAUACAGUUACAGUAAUGUCAGCAGCUCAGGGGAGAAACAUGCAAAGUAGAAAAAAGGGAAAAAUAGACCUUUUUAAUUAGAUAUCUGUGCCACUGACUCACACUUAAUAUGCAGAUUUUAACCCUUCCAUUGUUAAGUGAAGUGGGAGUUUUACUCAAAGGUGGAAAUGGCUGAGAGAUGAGGAGGGGUAAUUAAGCAGCACUGCAAUGUAAAGUAUUGCUGUCCUCAAUGUGGUAACACAGGCAAGGAAAGGGCCCAUGCUUCACUUGGGAAGCAGGAGCCUUAGAUUCCUUCACUCGGAAGACGAUGGCAAUGGUGACCUAUUUUACGUGUACAAUGGACUCGGGUUCAGAAUUGGUUUUGUAUCCCAUAUUUUCCUUGGCCCUUAAGCAGUAUUCUAAGUUUCUUUGGGUGGCCCAUUGUGCAGAUGCAAACUAGAAGCUCCAAACUAUGUGUAAUUCACUCAUGAUCUCCUGACUGCUGAGUGCCAGAGUCAUCUGGGAGGUUUGUCUUUAUCCUGCAAGGGCCAGAUGUAGGAUUUUACACUAAUGGAGAUGGUUUGAUUAUAGGGGCAGUACAAAAAAAUCUCAGCUUCAAAAAUUAGCAUGCACUUGUUUUGUUUCUUGGUAUUAGUUUGAAAAUAAAUUUAAUAAAAGUAAAACAUUCAAUAUGUAUACCUUCA
Long non-coding RNA from Cavia porcellus (domestic guinea pig), 1033 nucleotides. RefSeq lists it as uncharacterized. The transcript is spliced from 2 exons. The record is from RefSeq and is a predicted model, not a curated record. NCBI's taxonomy places the organism in Eukaryota, Metazoa, Chordata, Mammalia, Rodentia, Caviidae.